RNAcentral lists this transfer RNA (71 nucleotides) under Strauchbufo raddei (Mongolian toad). RNAcentral describes it as "tRNA-Ser". It matches the Rfam family "tRNA". Rfam says of the family: Transfer RNA (tRNA) molecules are approximately 80 nucleotides in length. Their secondary structure includes four short double-helical elements and three loops (D, anti-codon, and T loops). The record is from RNAcentral. Lineage: Eukaryota; Metazoa; Chordata; Amphibia; Anura; Bufonidae.
AAGAAAGUGACAGAACGGUCAUGUACCUGGCUUGAAACCAGUGGAUGGGGGUUCAAUUCCCUCCUUUCUCG